ACAAAAAUGGAUGGUUUUAUAAGAAUAAUUAAUAGAGGGAGGUGAUGAUGUUCCACUCUGGAUUUACCAUGGAGGUGGGUAUCGCGUCACAUCUUAAAGUAUAUGUACUAUGUACCUUCCCUGGCAACACUCCUCCCCAUCCAACCCCAAUAAUAAUAUACUAAGGAGGAAGAAGAAGAAGAAGAAAUGAAGAAUAGUUUCGUUGAUCAUCGUCAUCAUGUGGGUUUAGCAAAGAGUUGCUUACAGAGUUUAUUGGCAUUCUGUCCACCUCCUUUCAUUUCUAUCUUUUCCUUAGCGGAGGGAGGAGGUGGACAUGCUGCCAACUGAGUUCUGUUGCCUUCUCUUUGUAAAGCCCUCCUGAUAUCUAUCUAUCUUCUUUCCCAACAAGUAAGGUGAUUUGAUAUUGUAUCUGCCGCGAUGAUCUAUGAUGUUGAUAAUUACUAGAUUGGAUUGGAUUACCAACUGAUAAAAGGAGGAGAUUUGAUUUGAGUAGGGUUCGAGUUCGUGCAUUGCAUGCCUCAUCUGACAUGCCUUUUGAAUGGUACAAGAUAGUUACGCUCUACUGUAUUCGUAUGUGUGUAUGUAUUAUUGGGGAAACUAGAGAAUACGUUAAUUUCUACGGUCCAACUCUCUUGAACUAACGUCAAGACCUAGCUAGGCUCAUCAUUGAAGAUUGCACACUCAACUAAGUCCACUUAUUGCUGUUUUGUUAUUCACCCAA
Non-coding RNA from Arachis ipaensis, 721 nucleotides. The record is from RefSeq and is a predicted model, not a curated record. Lineage: Eukaryota; Viridiplantae; Streptophyta; Magnoliopsida; Fabales; Fabaceae.